CAGCCGCCGCGGGAAUACGUAGGUGGCAAGCGUUGUCCGGAAUUAUUGGGCGUAAAGGGCUCGCAGGCGGUUUCUUAAGUCUGAUGUGAAAGCCCCCGGCUCAACCGGGGAGGGUCAUUGGAAACUGGGAAACUUGGGUGCAGAAGAGGAGAGUGGAAUUCCACGUGUAGCGGUGAAAUGCGUAGAGAUGUGGAGGAACACCAGUGGCGAAGGCGACUCUCUGGUCUGUACUGACGCUGAGGAGCGAAAGCGUGGGGAGCGAACAGGAUUAGAUACCCCCGUAGUCCCUGUCUCUUAUACA
Molecule: ribosomal RNA, 301 nt
Filed under: uncultured bacterium
Lineage: Bacteria
Description: partial 16S ribosomal RNA
Rfam family: Bacterial small subunit ribosomal RNA
Source: RNAcentral